Long non-coding RNA from Phyllostomus discolor (pale spear-nosed bat), 162 nucleotides. RefSeq lists it as uncharacterized. The transcript is spliced from 3 exons. The record is from RefSeq and is a predicted model, not a curated record. NCBI's taxonomy places the organism in Eukaryota, Metazoa, Chordata, Mammalia, Chiroptera, Phyllostomidae.
UGGGCAGCAAGGAGGGCAAUGAGGAGCCCAACCCUGAGGGAGAGGAGAAAGGAGUGAGGGAGCUGGGCAGGAAGAAGGAGGACCAGAGCCUGAAACUGUUUCCCUCUUAGGAGAGAAGUCCCAUUGGCCCAGUGGAACAGAGAGGACUGGAAAGUCUCAUUU